This 618-nucleotide long non-coding RNA is filed under the name Trifolium pratense (red clover). RNAcentral's name for it is "long non-coding RNA (TPRA_LNC009959)". The record is from RNAcentral. Lineage: Eukaryota; Viridiplantae; Streptophyta; Magnoliopsida; Fabales; Fabaceae.
UUUUUGCUGGAUGAGAAUUUCAAAAUAUGAUACAACUUUCACAUGGAAUUAAUGACACAAUAUUAUUAUAAGAAUAUCCAUGGAAAAAUGGCUACAAUUUUGUUCAACCUUAAAGUUUGAAAAUCCUUCCAAGUUAUAUAUUUUUUUUCAAGGCUCAGUCACGGGUCUUUGAAAGCUCCAAUAUAAUCAUUGAUAGUUUGGUGUUGAUAAUUUUUACCUAAAAAAUUGUAGACCUUUUUAUAAGCAGGGUGUAAAAAUUAUGAAUCUCUCUAUCAAUACUCGGAGGUUGAAGUAUCUCGAAAAAGUCAUAAACCUUUCUAUAAGUAGAGGUUGAAGUUUGAAUCUUUCUAUUAAAUUUUAUUAAUGCCACGGGUCAUUGAAAGCUCAACUAUAAAAUUCGAUGUGACUGAGCCAUCUACCAAUAGGGUGAUUCACGGGUCUUUGAAGGCUCUACUAUAAAAUUCGAUAUGACCGAGUCAUCCACUUAUGAAAGGAAAGAUAGUCGACAACAAUUGUUCACAAGAAGCUAUUGUUUGGGAGUCAUAUUUUGCUAUCCAAUUGACCUUUAAUUUGUUUUUGUUGUUUUCUGGUAUGAAUCUUUACUUCAUUUACUUUGUU